RNAcentral lists this microRNA precursor (52 nucleotides) under Myotis lucifugus (little brown bat). RNAcentral describes it as "mir-1302 microRNA precursor family". It matches the Rfam family "mir-1302 microRNA precursor family". Lineage: Eukaryota; Metazoa; Chordata; Mammalia; Chiroptera; Vespertilionidae. The record is from Rfam by way of RNAcentral.
UUUUUAGCAUAAGUAUGUCCCAUGCAACAUUUGGGAUAUAUUUAUACUAAAA